UACGGGGGGGGCAAGCGUUGUUCGGAAUUACUGGGCGUAAAGGGCUCGUAGGCGGCCAACUAAGUCAGACGUGAAAUCCCUCGGCUUAACCGGGGAACUGCGUCUGAUACUGGAUGGCUUGAAUCCGGGAGAGGGAUGCGGAAUUCCAGGUGUAGCGGUGAAAUGCGUAGAUAUCUGGAGGAACACCGGUGGCGAAGGCGGCUUGCUGGGCUUGGUCUGACGCUGAGGCGCGAAAGCGUGGGGAGCGAACAGG
This 253-nucleotide ribosomal RNA is filed under the name uncultured bacterium. RNAcentral describes it as "partial 16S ribosomal RNA". It matches the Rfam family "Bacterial small subunit ribosomal RNA", at positions 524 to 776 of the family's 1533-position model. The record is from RNAcentral.